AUGGAGUAUUGGCCCUGCUGGCUUUUCCUGGCUGCUGUUUUCAAAGGUGUCCAGUGUAAGGUGCAGUUGGUGGAGUCUGGUGGAGGCUUGGUUCAGCCUGGAGGGUCCCUGAAACUCACGUGUGUUGCCUCUGGGUUCACAUUCAGAGACUACCAUAUGGUCUGGGUUCGCCAGGCUCCAGGAAAGGGACUGGAGUGGGUUGGUGUUGUUAGAAACAAAGCUAAUGGUUACAGCACGGAGUAUGCUGCAUCUGUGAAAGGCAGAUUCACAAUCUCAACGGACGAUUCUAAGAAUUCAGUGUAUCUGCAAAUGAACAGCCUGAAAACUGAGGACACAGCUGUAUAUUACUGCGCUACAGACACAGUGAGGGAACACCAGUAUGAACCCAGACAAAAACCUCCCUUCAGGGGCUGCACAACCACAAGAGAUUUCAGGACCUCCAGGCACUAG
Non-coding RNA from Carlito syrichta (Philippine tarsier), 450 nucleotides. The record is from the annotation of a RefSeq genome assembly. Lineage: Eukaryota; Metazoa; Chordata; Mammalia; Primates; Tarsiidae.